This 72-nucleotide transfer RNA is filed under the name Sphaerodactylus townsendi. RNAcentral describes it as "tRNA-Ala". Lineage: Eukaryota; Metazoa; Chordata; Lepidosauria; Squamata; Sphaerodactylidae. The record is from RNAcentral.
AGGGUUGUGGCUCAGCAGCAGUGCAUCUGUUGAGCACGCAGAAGGUCCCAGGUUCGACCCCAGGCAUCUCCA